CACGUAGGUGGCGAGCGUUAUCCGGAUUUACUGGGCGUAAAGCGUGUGCAGACGGAGUGGCAAGUGGUGUAUGAAAGGGUCAGGCUCAACCUGACCAGUGUAGGUCAGACUGCUGCUCUAGAGUGCGAGAGAGGGAUGUGGAAUUCCGGGUGUAGUGGUGAAAUGCGUAGAGAUCCGGAGGAACCCCAGAGGCGAAAGCGGCGUCCUGGCUCGCAACUGACGUUCAGACACGACAGCAUGGGGAGCGAACGGG
This 253-nucleotide ribosomal RNA is filed under the name uncultured bacterium. RNAcentral describes it as "partial 16S ribosomal RNA". It matches the Rfam family "Bacterial small subunit ribosomal RNA", at positions 524 to 776 of the family's 1533-position model. The record is from RNAcentral.